ACUCUCCUAGGUGCUUGAUCCAUGUUUGUGAGUGAAGAACUGGCAAUGUCCUGAACCGCAUGCUAGAAAUCAUAGAACCGAUGUUUACUGAAGAUAUUCUCUGUCCUAAACGUUUUGCACACUUUCUCUCAUACAGUCCUUGAGCCAUCCCUGGGAGACAGGAACUAGCACGUCUGUUAUCAGCAUUUUCAUUUUAUGGAUUUGGAAGUUGAGCCUCGCAAGAGGAAACAGACUUGUCCACAACCGAGGAACAUGGCAACCUCAGAACAGAGAGGAGUCUUUCCCGCAACCCAGCCCUCUCUGGACACCUUGAGCUCACCCUGCUGCCGCAUGCCGCUUCCUGCAUUGUCACCCUCCCUUCCUGUGAGUCGGAGCACUUCAUCUUCACCAGGUUCUGGGGGGCCGGCUGCCCCCGGGACGUGUCAGGGUAGGGAGUGAGGACUGGACCAUCCCUGCAGGGGGCCGUGCCGAUCGCUGGGCUUUGGGGAAGUGGAGCGUUCCCGGGGGCAAACCAGGAAGACAGUGGAAGGCUGUAGCGUGUCAGGCCUACAGCGUCACCACAUCCAUAACAUUGCCGCUGGGAUUAUGUUUCCUACGGAUAACUAGUAAAGGGGCUUAGGGCUUUGUGCUCAGUGGCUCAAGGCCGUAUUGGGAUGACACUUAAUGAACAAGCAUCGGGACAGGAUCAAGAGGAAGAAAGAAGAAUCUGCAUAAAUUGUGAGGAAGGAGCCUGGAUUCAUGGAGGUUGUGAAACUGGGGAUUUGUACUAUGGGUAAUGCUUGUCUAUCUUUCCACUGAACUGUAAGUUCCUUGGGGGUGUGAGGUGUGGAUUAUUCAUCUCCAGAUGCCCAGGGCCCAACUUAAUACCUCGUGUAUAGCACACAGGGCUCAGUGAAUACUUAUUGGGCGUAUGGGUGGAUGGAUGGAGGAAUGAAUGGAGGGAUGAAAGGAAGGAAGGAUGGAUAAGUGGAUGGAUGGAUAAGUGGAUGGAUGGAUGGAAGGGUGGAUAAAUGGAUGGAUGCAUGGAAGGAUGGAUAAAUGGAUGGAUGCAUGGAAGGAUGGAUAAAUGGAAGGAUGGGUAAAUGGAUGGAUGGAUAAAUGGAUGGAUGCAUGGAAGGAUGGAUAAAUGGAUGGAUGGAUGGUUAGUUUUUCUAAGGAGGCAGCCUGCAGUCAUCUGCCUUAGGUGCCCUUUCUUAUCCUGCCCUGCUCCCUUCCUCAGCCGGCUGCCCUGGACUCAUCCUUCAUAACACAGCAUCUGGGGCUGAGGGAGCAGUAUAAGCAAAGGCCUGUAAGUAAGAGGGGGCAAGGCCAGUUGGGAAACCGUAGGAAGGUGUGUGUGCUUGGAAAGCACAUUUCAAAGGAGAGAGCAGGGGUGGGUGACGCAACUGGAGACUUAAUCAGGGGUAAGAUUCUCGAGAGUCCCUUGGAUUGCAAGGAG
RNAcentral lists this long non-coding RNA (1438 nucleotides) under Bos indicus x Bos taurus (hybrid cattle). RNAcentral describes it as "lncRNA (ENSBIXG00005004747.1)". Lineage: Eukaryota; Metazoa; Chordata; Mammalia; Artiodactyla; Bovidae. The record is from RNAcentral.